Molecule: ribosomal RNA, 500 nt
Filed under: uncultured bacterium
Lineage: Bacteria
Description: partial 16S ribosomal RNA
Rfam family: Bacterial small subunit ribosomal RNA
Source: RNAcentral
AUUGAACGCUGGCGGCAUGCCUUACACAUGCAAGUCGAACGGCAGCACGGGAGCAAUCCUGGUGGCGAGUGGCGAACGGGUGAGUAAAGUAUCGGAACGUGCCCAGUCGUGGGGGAUAACGUAGCGAAAGUUAAGCUAAUACCGCAUACGAUCUAUGGAUGAAAGCGGGGGAUCGCAAGACAUCGCGCGAUUGGAACGGCCGAUAUCAGAUUGGGUAGUUGGUGGGGUAAAGGCUCACCAAGCCGAGGAUCUGUAGAUGGUCUGGGAGGACGACCAGCCACACUGGGACUGAGACACGGCCAAGACUCCUACGGGAGGCAGCAGUGGGGAAUUUUGGACAAUGGGCGCAAGCCUGAUCCAGCCAUGCCGCGUGCAGGAUGAAGGCCUUCGGGUUGUAAACUGCUUUUGUACGGAACGAAAAGGUUUGACUUAAUACGUUGGACUCAUGACAGUACCGUAAGAAUAAGCACCGGCUAACUACGUGCCAGCAGCCGCCGUAA